AGAGUUUGAUCAUGGCUCAGGAUGAACGCUAGCGGCAGGCUUAAUACAUGCAAGUCGAGGGGCAGCAGGUUUGUAGCAAUACAAAUGCUGGCGACCGGCAAACGGGUGCGGAACACGUACACAACCUUCCUUUAAGUGGGGAAUAGCCCAGAGAAAUUUGGAUUAAUACCCCGUAACAUUAUGAUGUGGCAUCACAUUAUAAUUAUAGCUCCGGCGCUUAAUGAUGGGUGUGCGGCUGAUUAGGUAGUUGGCGGGGUAACGGCCCACCAAGCCUUCGAUCAGUAACUGGUGUGAGAGCACGACCAGUCACACGGGCACUGAGACACGGGCCCGACUCCUACGGGAGGCAGCAGUAAGGAAUAUUGGGCAAUGGAGGCAACUCUGACCCAGCCAUGCCGCGUGGAGGAUGAAGGUCCUCUGGAUUGUAAACUUCUUUUAUAUGGGACGAAAAAGGGCCUUUCCAGGUCAACUGACGGUACCAUAGAAUAG
RNAcentral lists this ribosomal RNA (489 nucleotides) under uncultured Terrimonas sp. RNAcentral describes it as "bacterial SSU rRNA". It matches the Rfam family "Bacterial small subunit ribosomal RNA", at positions 8 to 488 of the family's 1533-position model. Lineage: Bacteria; Pseudomonadati; Bacteroidota; Chitinophagia; Chitinophagales; Chitinophagaceae. The record is from RNAcentral.